RNAcentral lists this ribosomal RNA (253 nucleotides) under uncultured bacterium. RNAcentral's name for it is "partial 16S ribosomal RNA". It matches the Rfam family "Bacterial small subunit ribosomal RNA", at positions 524 to 776 of the family's 1533-position model. The record is from RNAcentral.
GACGAACCGUGCGAACGUUGUUCGGAAUCACUGGGCUUAAAGGGCGCGUAGGCGGGCCAUCAAGUCCGUGGUGAAAUACUUCGGCUUAACCGGAGAAGUGCUGCGGAUACUGGUGGUCUUGAGUGGGGUAGGGGCAUGUGGAACUUCCGGUGGAGCGGUGAAAUGCGUAGAUAUCGGAAGGAACGCCGGUGGCGAAAGCGACGUGCUGGACCCCUUCUGACGCUGAGGCGCGAAAGCCAGGGGAGCAAACGGG